UACGUAGGGCGCAAGCGUUGUCCGGAAUUAUUGGGCGUAAAGAGCUCGUAGGCGGUCAGAUAGGUCCGUUGUGAAAACUCGAGGCUCAACCUCGAGACGCCGAUGGAAACCAUCUGACUAGAGUCCGGAAGAGGAGAGUGGAAUUCCUGGUGUAGCGGUGAAAUGCGCAGAUAUCAGGAAGAACACCCGUGGCUAAGGCGGCUCUCUAGUACGGUACUGACGCUGAGACGCGAAAGCGUGGGGAGCGAACAGG
RNAcentral lists this ribosomal RNA (253 nucleotides) under uncultured bacterium. Its description in RNAcentral is "partial 16S ribosomal RNA". It matches the Rfam family "Bacterial small subunit ribosomal RNA", at positions 524 to 776 of the family's 1533-position model. The record is from RNAcentral.